RNAcentral lists this ribosomal RNA (484 nucleotides) under uncultured bacterium. Its description in RNAcentral is "partial 16S ribosomal RNA". It matches the Rfam family "Bacterial small subunit ribosomal RNA", at positions 29 to 507 of the family's 1533-position model. The record is from RNAcentral.
AUUGAACGCUGGCGGCAUGCUUUACACAUGCAAGUCGAACGGCAGCGCGGGCUUCGGCCUGGCGGCGAGUGGCGAACGGGUGAGUAAUACAUCGGAACGUGCCCGGUAGUGGGGGAUAGCUCGGCGAAAGCCGGAUUAAUACCGCAUACGACCUGCGGGUGAAAGCGGGGGAUCUUCGGACCUCUCGCUAUUGGAGCGGCCGAUGGCAGAUUAGAUAGUUGGUGGGGUAAAGGCCUACCAAGGCGACGAUCUGUAGCUGGUCUGAGAGGACGACCAGCCACACUGGGACUGAGACACGGCCCAGACUCCUACGGGAGGCAGCAGUGGGGAAUGUUGGGCAAUGGGCGAAAGCCUGAUCCAGCAAUGCCGCGUGUGUGAUGAAGGCCUGCGGGUUGUAAAGCACUUUUGGCGGGAACGAAAAGGACUGUGCCAAUACCACGGUUGGAUGACGGUACCCGCAGAAUAAGCACCGGCUAACUACGUG